This 511-nucleotide ribosomal RNA is filed under the name uncultured Saccharomyces. RNAcentral describes it as "eukaryotic LSU rRNA". It matches the Rfam family "Eukaryotic large subunit ribosomal RNA", at positions 62 to 578 of the family's 3401-position model. The record is from RNAcentral. Lineage: Eukaryota; Fungi; Ascomycota; Saccharomycetes; Saccharomycetales; Saccharomycetaceae.
AAACCAACCGGGAUUGCCUUAGUAACGGCGAGUGAAGCGGCAAAAGCUCAAAUUUGAAAUCUGGUACCUUCGGUGCCCGAGUUGUAAUUUGGAGAGGGCAACUUUGGGGCCGUUCCUUGUCUAUGUUCCUUGGAACAGGACGUCAUAGAGGGUGAGAAUCCCGUGUGGCGAGGAGUGCGGUUCUUUGUAAAGUGCCUUCGAAGAGUCGAGUUGUUUGGGAAUGCAGCUCUAAGUGGGUGGUAAAUUCCAUCUAAAGCUAAAUAUUGGCGAGAGACCGAUAGCGAACAAGUACAGUGAUGGAAAGAUGAAAAGAACUUUGAAAAGAGAGUGAAAAAGUACGUGAAAUUGUUGAAAGGGAAGGGCAUUUGAUCAGACAUGGUGUUUUGUGCCCUCUGCUCCUUGUGGGUAGGGGAAUCUCGCAUUUCACUGGGCCAGCAUCAGUUUGUGGCAGGAUAAAUCCAUAGGAAUGUAGCUUGCCUCGGUAAGUAUUAUAGCCUGUGGGAAUACUGCC